Pteropus alecto (black flying fox) is the source of this 1999-nucleotide RNA transcript. It is a transcript of the gene named 60S ribosomal protein L32 pseudogene, with no coding region annotated. The transcript has a single exon. NCBI's taxonomy places the organism in Eukaryota, Metazoa, Chordata, Mammalia, Chiroptera, Pteropodidae. The record is from RefSeq and is a predicted model, not a curated record.
AUAAGUACCUGGGGAAAAGGUCCCAUUAAAAUAAGUUUGAGGAAAACUGAGAGAAUCAGUGUUCUGCACUUCAGAACUCAGAGCCUUUCAUGAACCAGGUUAAUUCUUUGCUAUCCAGGACCCAAGUGCUUUUCAUCUUUCUACUCAGCUUUCCUCAGUGUCAGAUUUUAUCAUUCUCUUGGGGAAAAGGUGAGUAUGACAGUUUCGGGAAUCACAUCUCACUCCAAAGUCUCAUUGCUCAGGGAGGCCUCACAGGCCAAUUGCUACAGCAGUUACUGAUAACAGGAAAGGGAUGACCUUGAUAGUCAUGGAUGACCUUGAUAGUCUAGUCUUAGGCUAGAAGGUGAUAGUCCACUCUCACCUUCUAGCCUAAGAAGGGCCACUGCUUUCCCUUAGCUUAGAAAGAAAUUUGGAGCCAAUAAAGAUGAAGGGAAUGGUUGUUGGGUAAGCAAGGAACAAUGUCUGCACAAUUCCAAAGCUCAAGAUAUAACCAAGUGUUCGAGCAGAUCUUUACCAAUUGUCAAAACUCCUACAGGUCUCUUGCAAGUCCACAAAUUCCUAGCAAACAAUGUAACUGCUACAGUGCUUUUUCCUCACACUAUCCUCAUCACCCACCAAAAAACCCAUAAUUGGUGAGCAAAGAAUGCUAUCUAGUUGCCAAACCCUCUUCAGUAUGGUAGAAAAAGUAACAAAUGCAUGAAUCCCAUUGGAAGUAAACUGUAUUCUCUAGUCUGCAGAAAUAAGCUUCACAGUAUCACAAAUUCUGUAGAAACACAGAUAAUGUGAUCACAAUACGUCACGUUGCCGUCUCCCAGAACUGUGGACCUGAAUCACAGGCUAAUGUGUCCCCAGUUCUCUGACUAAGGAGUCACUCUUCGUAGAAUUAAUCCCAGGAAGGUGAUUUUAAUAGUUUCCAGGUAAGUCAGUUGAAAGCGAUUUGACCACGAACAAUUUAAAUGAAAGCAGUUUGGCUGGAAGAACCUCUCCAAAAUGUUAAUUAGUCAAAAAUGAACAUUCUUAGUCACUAGUGAUAAUUAUUGACUAGAUGAGCAAAUACGAGCAAAUCCGCCCACAGACAGCAAUGGCUGACUCUUGGUGAGUGGGAUUGUGGGUGUUUUCUCUAGUCUUCUUUUGCCAGCUUGCAUUUAAUAAUAGAACAGGCAAAGUAAUGAUUUUCUGCAUUGCUUUUGUAAUAAGAAAAAGUAAAAUGAAAGGAUAUGGAAUUUCUCAGGAUUUGAGGGGUUUGUGUUCCCUUCUUUAAAUUCUAAUUCAUCGUAAGCCUAUAUGCCAGCUGUGCUUGUUUGGCGAUUUUUUUAUUUUUGCACACAGAAAUAUUUUGUUUGUUCCAACCAGCCUUUUAAUGCUAGAGAGAACAGGGCAAGAGUAAUUGGCUGGAAAUAAAUCAGAAGUUUUAAAACGUGAAAAUGGCUCUUCCUCAGCGCUGCCUACGGAGGUGGUAGCCAUCUACUAUUCGGCAUCAUGGCUGCCCUCAGACCCCUCAUGAAGCCCAAGAUCAUCAAAAAGAGGACUGAGAAGUUUAUCUCACACCAGUCAGACUGAUAUGUCAAAAUUAAGCAUAAUUGGCGGAAACCCAGACGCAUUGACAAUAGAGUGCACAGAAGGUUCAAGGUAUGGGAGUAACAAGAAAACAAAGCACAUGCUGCCCAGUGGCUUUUGGAAGUUGCUGGUCCAUGAUGUCAAGCAGCUUGAAGUGCUGCCGAUGUGCAACAAAUCUUACUGUGCUGAGAUUGCUCACAAUCUCUCCUCAAAGAACUGUAGAGCCCUAUGGAAAGAGUAGCCCAACUGGCUAUCAGAGUCACUAAUCCCAAAGCCAGGCUGCGCAGCGAAGAAAAUGAAUAGACAGCUUGUGUGCACAUUGUAUUUGUGUUAGUAAAACCAUAAAAUUCUAAAAAUAUGUAAUAAAAAUAAAUAAAAAACAAAAAUGUAGAAAACAAUAGAAAAUUUAAAAGUUUUUAAAACUGCUUUAAAAUGCAUUAAA